GUGGUUUCACUUUCACAGCCCUCGUUUCCUCAGAAAUUUUGACUCUCUUGGUAGAAUGGACCUUAAUUUUAGGUUCGUUCAAUGCAACCCAGUAGGGAAAGGUGACAAAUUGAAGCAGACACUCCUUAUCAUUUAAUCUAGUAAAUUAGGUAUUCCUACAUUCAAAACUAAAAUCUAAAAGAAAUGGAGUUCUCUACACCAGCAAGUCAGAGAAGCAGCAGGUCCAAAGGCAAAAUCACAGAAAGAAUUAAUUUGAGGAACUGCGGUACCACUGCAGCUAAUUUUGUAAAGAUCACACAGCCUUGUAAAAUGUGGCAGUGAAAGAAUUUGACCACAAGUCUGUCUGAUCCAGAGUCAGGAUCCUGUUUAUGCUGCACCGUCCUAGGCUAAUAGGACUCCUGGUGCUCCUGUCUGAACUCCUUUAAGAGCUCCAGAACUUGUAGAACUCAUGCGAGUGACAUUUUCCAGUUGAAUGCUGCACUAAGUGACAAAAUUGAAGAUGAGUGGUCUGGCAAAGAAAAUCUGAAGCUGGGUCAGAGAAAAUUUGUUCACCGAACAGAAGAGGUUUACCUAAAAUUUCAGUUGUCAACAUCCAGAAGAAAAGCUACUCAGAGUGAUCCUGUCUGAUAAAUAGAAAAUAAUGUGUUGGAGGUGGCAGAGUAGGGAGUGAUUUGUGGUGACUUUUGCUGUGCACAAACACAAAGCACCCCUAUGAGCUGCUUUUGAAGAGGGAAAAAGCCGUGUAUCAAGCAGAGCGCAUGUAGCUCAUUAGUUACCUAACUGGACUCUCUGUUCUUUACAAGAGAAACUUCCUCUGGGGUUGCAGUGGGGG
Molecule: long non-coding RNA, 832 nt
Organism: Cavia porcellus (domestic guinea pig)
Lineage: Eukaryota; Metazoa; Chordata; Mammalia; Rodentia; Caviidae
Exons: 3
Source: RefSeq, a predicted model, not a curated record